This 425-nucleotide ribosomal RNA is filed under the name uncultured bacterium. RNAcentral's name for it is "bacterial SSU rRNA". It matches the Rfam family "Bacterial small subunit ribosomal RNA", at positions 354 to 796 of the family's 1533-position model. The record is from RNAcentral.
GUGGGGAAUAUUGGACAAUGGGGGCAACCCUGAUCCAGCAAUGCCGCGUGGGUGAUGAAGGCCUUCGGGUUGUAAAGCCCUUUUGGCGGGGACGAUGAUGACGGUACCCGCCGAAUAAGCUCCGGCUAACUUCGUGCCAGCAGCCGCGGUAAUACGAAGGGAGCUAGCGUUGUUCGGAAUUACUGGGCGUAAAGGGCGCGUAGGCGGUUUCGAUAGUCGGGCGUGAAAUCCCCAGGCUCAACUUGGGAAUUGCGUUCGAUACUGCGAGACUUGAGUGAGGGAGAGGAUAGUGGAAUUCCCAGUGUAGAGGUGAAAUUCGUAGAUAUUGGGAAGAACACCAGUGGCGAAGGCGGCUAUCUGGACCUCAACUGACGCUGAGGCGCGAAAGCGUGGGGAGCAAACAGGAUUAGAAACCCUGGUAGUCC